UACGUAGGUGGCAAGCGUUGUUCGGAAUUAUUGGGCGUAAAGGGCGCGUAGGCGGUUUGUUAAGUCGGUCGUGAAAGCCCGGGGCUCAACCCCGGAGGAUCGACCGAUACUGGCAGACUAGAGUACAGAAGAGGUAACUGGAAUUCCCGGUGUAGCGGUGAAAUGCUUAGAUAUGACAUAGAACACCUAUUGCGAAGGCAGCUAACUACGCGAAUAUUGACGCUGAGGCACGAAAGCGUGGGGAUCAAACAGG
This 253-nucleotide ribosomal RNA is filed under the name uncultured bacterium. RNAcentral describes it as "partial 16S ribosomal RNA". It matches the Rfam family "Bacterial small subunit ribosomal RNA", at positions 524 to 776 of the family's 1533-position model. The record is from RNAcentral.